Molecule: ribosomal RNA, 443 nt
Filed under: uncultured bacterium
Lineage: Bacteria
Description: partial 16S ribosomal RNA
Rfam family: Bacterial small subunit ribosomal RNA
Source: RNAcentral
CCUACGGGCGGCAGCAGUGGGGAAUAUUGGGCAAUGGGCGCAAGCCUGACCCAGCAACGCCGCGUGAAGGAAGAAGGCUUUCGGGUUGUAAACUUCUUUUCUCAGGGACGAAGCAAGUGACGGUACCUGAGGAAUAAGCCACGGCUAACUACGUGCCAGCAGCCGCGGUAAUACGAAGGUGGCAAGCGUUAUCCGGAUUUACUGGGUGUAAGGGGCGUGUAGGCGGGGACGCAAGUCAGAUGUGAAAACCACGGGCUCAACCUGUGGCCUGCAUUUGAAACUGUGUUUCUUGAGUACUGGUGAGGCAGACGGAAUUCCUAGUGGAGCGGUGAAAUGCGUAGAUAUUAGGAAGAACACCAGUGGCGAAGGCGGUCUGCUGGACAGCAACUGACGCUGAGGCGCGAAAGCGUGGGGAGCAAACAGGAUUAGAUACCCCUGUAGUC